RNAcentral lists this ribosomal RNA (137 nucleotides) under uncultured eukaryote. Its description in RNAcentral is "partial 18S ribosomal RNA". It matches the Rfam family "Eukaryotic small subunit ribosomal RNA", at positions 1299 to 1458 of the family's 1831-position model. The record is from RNAcentral.
CGGUGGAGCGAUUUGUCUGGUUAAUUCCGAUAACGAACGAGACUCUAGCCUAUUAAAUAGUUCGCCGAUUUUUCGAGUCGGCGUCAACUUCUUAGAGGGACAAGUGUCGUACAGGCACGCGAGAUUGAGCAAUAACA